AAAUUUGGCUGAGAGACUCAGACUGGUCAUGGGUAGACCUAUCUGGGGUUUGAUCGAUGCCACUCCUGGUUUCAGGAGCACCCUUCAUAAUAAACCUAGAAAUUCAGUAUUAUAAAGUUUAAUAAAAAACAACUUUUAACAAUGGAUCUCUUGGUUCUCGCAUCGAUGAAGAACGUAGCAAAGUGCGAUAACUAGUGUGAAUUGCAUAUUCAGUGAAUCAUCGAGUCUUUGAACGCAGCUUGCACUCUAUGGUUUUUCUAUAGAGUACGCCUGCUUCAGUAUCAUCACAAACCCACACAUAACAUUUGUUUAUGUGGUGAUGGGUCGCAUCGCUGUUUUAUUACAGUGAGCACCUAAAAUGUGUGUGAUUUUCUGUCUGGCUUGCUAGGCAGGAAUAUUACGCUGGUCUCAGGAUCUUUUUUUUUGGUUCGCCCAGGAAGUAAAGUACAAGAGUAUAAUCCAGUAACUUUCAAACUAUGAUCUGAAGUCAGGUGGGAUUACCCGCUGAACUUAAGCAUAUCAAUAAGCGGAGGAAAAGAAAAUAACAAUGAUUUCCCUAGUAACGGCGAGUGAAGAGGAAAGAGCUCAAAGUUGGAACCUGUUUGGCCUAGCUAAACCGGAUUGUAGACUGUAGAAGUGUUUUCCAGGCAAGCCGAGUAAAUAAGUCCUUUGGAACAGGGCAUCAUAGAGGGUGAGAAUCCCGUCUUUGGCUUGAGCAUUUGCCUUUUGUGAUACGCUUUCAAAGAGUCAGGUUGUUUGGGAAUGCAGCCUAAAUUGGGUGGUAAAUCUCACCUAAAGCUAAAUAUUGGCGAGAAACCGAUAGCGAACAAGUACCGUGAGGGAAAGAUGAAAAGAACUUUGAAAAGAGAGUUAAACAGUAUGUGAAAUUGUUAAAAGGGAACCGUUUGGAGCCAGACUGGCUUGUCUGUAAUCAAUCUAGGCUUCGGCCUGGAUGCACUUGCAGGCUAUGCCUGCCAACGACAAUUUGACUUGAGGGAAAAAACUAAGGGAAAUGUGGCCCACUUGUGGGUGUUAUAGUCCCUUAGAAAAUACCUUGGGUUGGAUUGAGGAACGCAGCGAAUGCUUUUU
RNAcentral lists this ribosomal RNA (1089 nucleotides) under fungal endophyte. Its description in RNAcentral is "eukaryotic LSU rRNA". The stretch from base 478 to 1089 matches the Rfam family "Eukaryotic large subunit ribosomal RNA", at positions 1 to 610 of the family's 3401-position model. The record is from RNAcentral. Lineage: Eukaryota; Fungi.